This 484-nucleotide ribosomal RNA is filed under the name uncultured bacterium. RNAcentral describes it as "partial 16S ribosomal RNA". It matches the Rfam family "Bacterial small subunit ribosomal RNA", at positions 30 to 507 of the family's 1533-position model. The record is from RNAcentral.
AUUGAACGCUGGCGGCAGGCCUAACACAUGCAAGUCGAGCGGAUGAAGGGAGCUUGCUCCUGGAUUCAGCGGCGGACGGGUGAGUAAUGCCUAGGAAUCUGCCUGGUAGUGGGGGAUAACGUCCGGAAACGGGCGCUAAUACCGCAUACGUCCUGAGGGAGAAAGUGAGGGAUCUUCGGACCUCACGCUAUCAGAUGAGCCUAGGUCGGAUUAGCUAGUUGGUGGGGUAAAGGCCUACCAAGGCGACGAUCCGUAACUGGUCUGAGAGGAUGAUCAGUCACACUGGAACUGAGACACGGUCCAGACUCCUACGGGAGGCCGCAGUGGGGAAUAUUGGACAAUGGGCGAAAGCCUGAUCCAGCCAUGCCGCGUGUGUGAAGAAGGUCUUCGGAUUGUAAAGCACUUUAAGUUGGGAGGAAGGGCAGUAAGUUAAUACCUUGCUGUUUUGACGUUACCAACAGAAUAAGCACCGGCUAACUUCGUG